AAAUGAACAAGACAGUCUCCACAAGGGCUCUCUUUCAACAUCAACUGCUUCCUCAAUUUGGUGCGGUACGAGCAGGAGAAGAGACAGGCGCAGGUCGUGAAAUAUCAAUCUGCCCAAAAGUAAUGCAUGGACACCAGCACGUGAUACAACCUGCAACACAAGUGAUGAACAUUUAUAAUAAGUUGAAGAGCUUUCAUCGGAGACAACAGGGUCUUGAGAAGAACAUACAGUUUGUGACGUCCGAGAAGCAAUCACAAAGGCCGGUGGACCAAGGGACCUCAGUUCCAGGUUGAAGACCACCGGUGGAGCUAAUCGGAAUACCCGUGGCCAUCGCGGGUUGACUGGAGGUAUAAGGAGGCGCUGAGGGCGGAGGUGAAGCCGAGAAUUUCUGGUAAUCGUUUUGGUACAUGAUUCCGUAAUAGAAUUAUGGAGUGAUUUGAAACGAUAAUUCAGAAAGAUUGAAAGAGGAGUUUUCUGCUGAUAAA
Molecule: long non-coding RNA, 485 nt
Organism: Vitis vinifera (wine grape)
Lineage: Eukaryota; Viridiplantae; Streptophyta; Magnoliopsida; Vitales; Vitaceae
Exons: 2
Source: RefSeq, a predicted model, not a curated record